GACGAACGCUGGCGGCGUGCUUAACACAUGCAAGUCGAACGGAAAGGCCCUGCUUUUGUGGGGUGCUCGAGUGGCGAACGGGUGAGUAACACGUGAGUAACCUGCCCUUGACUUUGGGAUAACUUCAGGAAACUGGGGCUAAUACCGGAUAGGAGCUCCUGCUGCAUGGUGGGGGUUGGAAAGUUUCGGCGGUUGGGGAUGGACUCGCGGCUUAUCAGCUUGUUGGUGGGGUAGUGGCUUACCAAGGCUUUGACGGGUAGCCGGCCUGAGAGGGUGACCGGCCACAUUGGGACUGAGAUACAGCCCAGACGCCUACGGGAGGCAGCAGUGGCGAAUAUUGCACAAUGGGCGGAAGCCUGAAGCGGCAACGCCGCGGUCGGGAUGACGGCCUUCGGGUUGUAAACCGCUUUCGCCUGUGACGAAGCGUGAGUGACGGGAAUGGGGAAGUAAGCGCCGGCUAACUACGUG
Molecule: ribosomal RNA, 468 nt
Filed under: uncultured bacterium
Lineage: Bacteria
Description: partial 16S ribosomal RNA
Rfam family: Bacterial small subunit ribosomal RNA
Source: RNAcentral